GCCUUGUUAGCUCAGUUGGUUUAGAACGUUUGGUUUUUAACCAAAAUGUCGUUGGUUCGACCCCCACGCAGGGCG
RNAcentral lists this transfer RNA (75 nucleotides) under Kickxella alabastrina. Its description in RNAcentral is "tRNA-Lys". It matches the Rfam family "tRNA". From Rfam's summary of the family: Transfer RNA (tRNA) molecules are approximately 80 nucleotides in length. Their secondary structure includes four short double-helical elements and three loops (D, anti-codon, and T loops). Further hydrogen bonds mediate the characteristic L-shaped molecular structure. tRNAs have two regions of fundamental functional importance: the anti-codon, which is responsible for specific mRNA codon recognition, and the 3' end, to which the tRNAs corresponding amino acid is attached (by aminoacyl-tRNA synthetases). tRNAs cope with the degeneracy of the genetic code in two manners: having more than one tRNA (with a specific anti-codon) for a particular amino acid; and 'wobble' base-pairing, i.e. permitting non-standard base-pairing at the 3rd anti-codon position. Lineage: Eukaryota; Fungi; Kickxellomycota; Kickxellomycetes; Kickxellales; Kickxellaceae. The record is from RNAcentral.